Molecule: long non-coding RNA, 2529 nt
Organism: Dreissena polymorpha
Lineage: Eukaryota; Metazoa; Mollusca; Bivalvia; Myida; Dreissenidae
Exons: 2
Source: RefSeq, a predicted model, not a curated record
UGUGGCUAUUCCUGUAAGUAUAAUGGUCACUUUAAGACACACAUGAUGAUUCAUACAGGAGAGAGACCACACAAAUGUGAGGUGUGAGGUUAUGAAUGUAACAGGAGUGAUCACUUGAAGACACACAUGAGGAGGAUACAUUCAGGAGAAAGACUGUACAAGUGUGAGGAGUGUGGUUAUGUUUGUAACCAGAGUGUACAAGUGUGAGGAGUGUGGUUAUGUUUGUAACCAGAAUGUACAAGUGUGAGGAGUGUGGUUUUGCUUGUAACCAGAGUUCUGACUUGAAGAAACACAUGAGGAUACAUACAGAACAGAGACUGUACAAAUGUGAGGUGUGUGGUAGAGCAUUUUAACAGAGUGGUACAUUGACAACACAUGAAGCUUCUUAAAGGAGAGAGACCGUUCACGUGGGAUGUGUGUGGCUUUUCAUUUAAACACAGAAGUCACUUGAAAAAACACUUGAUGAUACAUUUAAGCGAGAAACAAGUGUGAGUUGUGGUUAUGCAUGUAAGAAGAGUGGUCACUUGAAGACACACAUGAGGAUACAUUCACGAGAAAGGCUGUAAAAGUGUGAGGAAUGUGGCUCUGCAUCUAACACUAGUGGUAACUUGUAGAAGCACAUGAGGAUACAUAAUUGAAGAAAUAUUUAAAACAGGAAAAUAUCACAAAUCUCCGAUAAAAGAAGUGCUAUUACUUCUUGUGAUCAAUAUAAACUUGUAUAGUAAGAUAACAAAACAAUCUUCUCAUAAACCAGGGUUGGCAUAUUGAUCGGUCAAUUGAGUAUUGACCGGGCUGGCGGUCAAUACCCGGUUAAAACCGGUCAAUACUGGUCAUUAUUGGUCAAUACUGGUCGAUUGAAAAUUGUAGCAUUUAAACAUGACAAAGGAAGAAUUUAAGCUAUUCUAUAUUAAAUCAAUCAUUAUUCUGUAAUUGAUCAACUUUUUUUGAGUUAUCUAUUGUAAAAAAAGCUUUAAAGCUGUAAAAAAAUACUUCUUUAUUAUUUAUGGAAACGGUCUCAAAUACAAAAGAACUAAGGCAAUAUCUUUAUCUCAGUGUAUCACAUCUGUUACUGAAGUAUUAUUACUAUUGUAGUUACCAUAGUAUUUCACUGAUCUUUUGAUAUAUCUAUUUGAUAAGCUGAUGGACAAACAGAACUCUUGUGGUUUCUAGUGUCAUAAAUGAUCUGGCCCCUAAGCCUUAAUUGGUAAUAAAAUGCAUGCACUGGUAUGUCUCUGAUAGUUACAAUGAAGCAAAUCUGCCCUUAGGCUAUUUCAUUUCACUCAAACAAAAUGAGAUAACUUGCUAUUAAUAUUAUUAAUUUAAUAGUUACUUCUAAAUUGUCUCCUUUCUAUAUUAAGAGGGUUUUCUUAUUUUAAAGUUCAAUUGGUCUUCAAAUGAAUAAACAAUCAAAGUUCUUGAUUUUGGCAACAAAUAAUGUUGACCAAUUGUGGGUCUACUCUAGACUCUUCUUUUCAUUUAUUUCUUUCUUUUAAUAAUUAUUUCUUAUUAAGUUUUGUUUUAUAUCAAUGGUAAAAUAAAAUAUUUUUUCACUAUUUUGUUAAAGAAAUCCAGGCAAGAAUACAUGACAAGUAAGGGUUGUGUCAAAGGUGCCAUGUAAGGCCCUAUUAUCAGCUUUGGGUGCCCUAACCUGUUUAGGUUUGAAGACUGUGAAAGACUGUGGAGACAGUGGGGCAUGUGGAACAACUAAUACACAGUCAUUGACAGGUUCUUGUUGAAUCAAGCACAGAAUUUUCUGAGCAUUCAUAAUUUGUUAGAAUUGAAAAAAAAUUCAAUCGACCAGCAAAAUCCAAUUGACCAACUUGACUCAUUUGCAAAAUUUUGAGAGAUUGGCCUACAAUUUGCAUGAACAGGUAUAAAAUAGUGGGGUUUAAUAGCUUAAGACAUUAUUGGCAACAUGGCUGUUUAAUUUAUAUUAUCAAUAUUGUUUAAUUAAGCAUGGAAUAUUAAUCAAAAUUGGGGGUAAAGUUCAAUCGACCAGUAUUGACCAGUAAUGUUCACUUUGGGAGUAUUGACCGGGGCGGUUUUAACCGGUAAAAACCGCCGGUUAAAACCGGGGGCGGUCGAUUGGUGCCAACCCUGUCUUAAACGAUAAGCCAUGAAGGCUUAUUGGGUUUUGGCAGUUUUUGAAGAAGUCCUAUCGAAACAAUGAAGAAAUGCGAGGAUUAAAAUGUGUUCCAUGUAUUUGUUUCGUAUCAGAUCGAAAAUGCCCAUAGACAUUAUUAACUAAAACAAGGGAUAAAAUAUACAAUUUAUAUUUACGCAAAAACAAGCUACCAGUAUAUUGCAGUAAAGCAGGACAUUGUCCGUAUGUGGUCCAAGCGUUGUAUUUCAUACUCACAAGUUUGGUUGGUGAAAACUUUAAAUACAAAAGGUCCAAAGAAAUUCUCCUUAAUAAUGGGUGAUUAUUUUCAGUUAUUCGUGCAUUUCGUUAUUUAUUCGAACUGUCUUUUUAUCUAAAAUGUUAUUCCUGGCGAAAAUAUUAUUGAAUUGAAAUUUUGUUGAAUUUGG